Molecule: ribosomal RNA, 238 nt
Filed under: uncultured Lactobacillus sp.
Lineage: Bacteria; Bacillati; Bacillota; Bacilli; Lactobacillales; Lactobacillaceae
Description: partial 16S ribosomal RNA
Rfam family: Bacterial small subunit ribosomal RNA
Source: RNAcentral
UAACCUGCCCAGAGAUCGGGAUAACACCUGGAAACAGAUGCUAAUACCGGNUAACACAGAUGAUGCCUAUCAACUGUUUAAAAGAUGGUUCUGCUAUCACUCUUGGAUGGACCUGCGGUGCAUUAGCUAGUUGGUAGGGUAACGGCCUACCAAGGCGAUGAUGCAUAGCCGAGUUGAGAGACUGAUCGGCCACAUUGGGACUGAGACACGGCCCAAACUCCUACGGGAGGCAGCAGAC